Aspergillus glaucus CBS 516.65 is the source of this 72-nucleotide transfer RNA. It matches the Rfam family "tRNA". From Rfam's summary of the family: Transfer RNA (tRNA) molecules are approximately 80 nucleotides in length. Their secondary structure includes four short double-helical elements and three loops (D, anti-codon, and T loops). The record is from Rfam. NCBI's taxonomy places the organism in Eukaryota, Fungi, Ascomycota, Eurotiomycetes, Eurotiales, Aspergillaceae.
GGCCGGCUGGCCCAAUGGUAAGGCGCUUGACUACGAAUCAAGAGAUUGCAGGUUCGACCCCUGCGUCGGUCA